GGGGCUAUAGCUCAGCUGGGAGAGCGCCUGCUUUGCACGCAGGAGGUCAGCGGUUCGAUCCCGCUUAGCUCCA
Oceanimonas sp. GK1 is the source of this 73-nucleotide transfer RNA. It matches the Rfam family "tRNA". From Rfam's summary of the family: Transfer RNA (tRNA) molecules are approximately 80 nucleotides in length. Lineage: Bacteria; Pseudomonadati; Pseudomonadota; Gammaproteobacteria; Aeromonadales; Aeromonadaceae. The record is from Rfam.